Molecule: ribosomal RNA, 257 nt
Filed under: uncultured bacterium
Lineage: Bacteria
Description: partial 16S ribosomal RNA
Rfam family: Bacterial small subunit ribosomal RNA
Source: RNAcentral
UACGGAGGGUGCAAGCGUUGUCCGGAUUUAUUGGGUUUAAAGGGUGCGUAGGCGGCCCUGUAAGUCAGUGGUGAAAUACUGCAGCUUAACUGUAGCAUUGCCAUUGAUACUGUAGGGCUUGAGUACAGAUGAGGUAGGCGGAAUUGAUGGUGUAGCGGUGAAAUGCAUAGAUACCAUCAAGAACACCGAUUGCGAAAGGCAGCUUACUAAGCUGUAACAUGACGCUGAGGCACGAAAAGCGUGGGGAUCGGAACAGG